Molecule: long non-coding RNA, 355 nt
Filed under: Eucalyptus grandis
Lineage: Eukaryota; Viridiplantae; Streptophyta; Magnoliopsida; Myrtales; Myrtaceae
Description: long non-coding RNA (EGRA_LNC004842)
Source: RNAcentral
CCCACACCAGUCAGCCCAUAUUAGACUAAUUAAGAAACCUACUAUCUCUCCUUAGACCAAACCCCGUAAAACGAUAAAUGUUAAACGGUAAAUUACAAUAUCAAUUUAUGUAGUCCACAAUUACAAAAACUCUUACAUGAUGGCCCCAAAGCGACAACCCGUCGAACAACCCUCCACAGGCAACUCCCACUGAAGCUUUCGUCUCCAUCACAUUGAAGGGUUGAGCUCCGUUCGCAACCAAAAUGGGGCUAAGCAUCGCCAGGACCAAGAGAAUGUGGAGAGCCCUUGUUGUGCUCCUCAUGUUCGAUGAAAUUACUGACGGAGACAAGCAAAAGCAAAUUUUUACCGACAGAGA